This 55-nucleotide small RNA is filed under the name Caenorhabditis elegans. Its description in RNAcentral is "Unclassified non-coding RNA Y51H7C.23". Lineage: Eukaryota; Metazoa; Nematoda; Chromadorea; Rhabditida; Rhabditidae. The record is from RNAcentral.
GAAGAAAUUCGGUCUGCUAGACUACAAACUACACUUUUCGAUUUAGCAAACCAAU